Molecule: ribosomal RNA, 515 nt
Filed under: uncultured bacterium
Lineage: Bacteria
Description: partial 16S ribosomal RNA
Rfam family: Bacterial small subunit ribosomal RNA
Source: RNAcentral
GAUGAACGCUGGCGGCGUGCCUAAUACAUGCAAGUCGAGCGAAUGGAUUAAGAGCUUGCUCUUAUGAAGUUAGCGGCGGACGGGUGAGUAACACGUGGGUAACCUGCCCAUAAGACUGGGAUAACUCCGGGAAACCGGGGCUAAUACCGGACAACAUUUUGAACCGCAUGGUCCGAAAUUGAAAGGCGGCUUCGGCUGUCACUUAUGGAGGGUCCCGCGUAGGAUUAGCUAGUUGGUGAGGUAACGGCUCACCAAGGCAACGAUGCGUAGCGGGCCUGAGAGGGUGAUCGGCCACACUGGGACUGAGACACGGCCCAGACUCCUACGGGAGGCAGCAGUAGGGAAUCUUCCGCAAUGGACGAAAGUCUGACGGAGCAACGCCGCGUGAGUGAUGAAGGCUUUCGGGUCGUAAAACUCUGUUGUUAGGGAAGAACAAGUGCUAGUUGAAUAAGCUGACACCUUGACGGUACCUAACCAGAAAGCCACGGCUAACUACGUGCCAGCCGCCGCGGUAA